This 396-nucleotide ribosomal RNA is filed under the name uncultured bacterium. RNAcentral describes it as "partial 16S ribosomal RNA". It matches the Rfam family "Bacterial small subunit ribosomal RNA", at positions 523 to 918 of the family's 1533-position model. The record is from RNAcentral.
AUACGUAGGGGGCGAGCGUUGUCCGGAAUGAUUGGGCGUAAAGGGCGCGUAGGCGGCCCGGUAAGUCUGGAGUGAAAGUCCUGUUUUUAAGAUGGGAAUUGCUUUGGAUACUGUCGGGCUUGAGUGCAGGAGAGGUAAGUGGAAUUCCCAGUGUAGCGGUGAAAUGCGUAGAGAUUGGGAGGAACACCAGUGGCGAAGGCGACUUACUGGACUGUAACUGACGCUGAGGCGCGAAAGUGUGGGGAGCAAACAGGAUUGGAUACCCUGGUAGUCCACACUGUAAACGAUGAAUGCUAGGUGUAGGGGGUAUCGACCCUUCUGUGCCGCAGUCAACACAAUAAGCAUUCCGCCUGGGGAGUACGGCCGCAAGGUUGAAACUCAAAUGAAUUGACGGGG